AUGCGAGCCCCAAAGGAGAGAAAUGGGUGAAAAGCACUCUCUGCACUGCUGUCACAAAAGACCGCAACAGAGGAAGAAAAACAGAAGCGAGGCCGAGACCGGAGGAGGGGGACGAGGAGAGGGAAAAGUCCCACACUGAAGGAAUUAGAGAAAAUGACAUGAUCAGGGAUGGAGGAGGAGAGGGAUGAACAACAGGGAAUAGACCCAGAAAGUGGGAUUAUUUGGACAUUAACCCAUGAGGAGAACGAAGCGUCCGACAAGGACCAGCAAACACAGGACCUGCAGGAUUAUAGAGGAGACGCUGAUGGAGAAGAGGCCAGCAAGGAUACAGAGGAUUUGUACGUCACUGUUCCAGACGUGUUCAUACAGGAGACUCUCACAGUGCCACAAAUACAGGUAGAGGGUGAACAGCUCCCACAGUCGCCCCCGACGACAGAUGAGGUCUUAACCCCCCUCUCAGCAUCAUCCCUAUCAUCUCUCACGCAAGGUUCUGCCUCUGAACCCUGCUUUUACUGCUUAAGGUCGCUUGACUCAUAUCAACCUGAAGACCCCAAGCAGGAGGAUUUAGAUGCUUCAUCACCUUCUAGUGUUCAGAAGAUGAGCUACCAGACAGACCCUCGCCCUCACUUUGGCGUGGCCUGGUCCUCGCACUCGACCUGCAGGCCUUUGUGGGGCAGUGAGGGGCCCUGCUGGGGGCCUAGGAAUCAGGAGGUGACUGAUCAGAUUGACCCUUGUCCUCACUGCCAUCUGGGUUUGCCCCCUGACACACUGCGCUGGCACGAGGUCUGCACAAAUGGACACACAACAUCCCAUGUGUUUA
RNAcentral lists this long non-coding RNA (820 nucleotides) under Gouania willdenowi (blunt-snouted clingfish). RNAcentral describes it as "lncRNA (ENSGWIG00000002589.1)". Lineage: Eukaryota; Metazoa; Chordata; Actinopteri; Blenniiformes; Gobiesocidae. The record is from RNAcentral.